RNAcentral lists this non-coding RNA (30 nucleotides) under Mus musculus (house mouse). The record is from RNAcentral. Lineage: Eukaryota; Metazoa; Chordata; Mammalia; Rodentia; Muridae.
UUGAGUAAGACUUGAGAAAAAAACUUAAGG